UCUCCAGCACCCAAUGAGCGGAUGUCAUCUCUAUUUUGAAGACCAAAUUAUUCCUAGAGAGCCAGAUCUGGUAGGCGACAUACACCAUUCUUCUCCUCUAGGCACAGGUCAAUCCCUCAGCAGUACUCUAGUAGAUCACAUCGAGAAAAUGGUUCAGCUAAGGACUACUGCUCACCUUCUAUAAUUGAUCACCCGCCCUCCUCUAGAUCAACCUUACUCUCAGACAUCGCAGGAGUGUUGGGAAAAAUACCUCGAAUUCGAUCCACAGGAGUGAAAAUCUAGAUGCACAGAAGCCC
This 296-nucleotide long non-coding RNA is filed under the name Elaeis guineensis (African oil palm). Its description in RNAcentral is "long non-coding RNA (EGUI_LNC061884)". Lineage: Eukaryota; Viridiplantae; Streptophyta; Magnoliopsida; Arecales; Arecaceae. The record is from RNAcentral.